AUAAAUAAAAAAAUAAUAAAUUUUUUAAAAUAUAUAUAAAACAAUAAAACGAACAUGAACAUAAAUAAAUAUAAAAAUUUGCAAAUAUUUUUUAUAUAUUCCUGUUUUAUAUUUGCAAAUCUGAUUAAAAACAUUCAGGCGGAUGAAACAAAUAUUGUGCUUCUGUUCGAAAAUGAUAAUAACGACAUGGAAAAAAUCUUUCAAAUAGCCAUUGCCAAAGCAAAUGAAGAGAAUUCUGAGUUAAAUUUCAAUGGAAUUACUGUUGCUAUUGAACCGAAUAAUGCAUUUGAGACCUCUAGAAAAUUAUGUAAAACAUUAAGGGAAAAUCAAGUAAUUGCUGUAUUUGGUCCGACUACCAGCAUGGCUGCCAAGCACGCUAUGAGUGUUUGUGAUGCCAAAGAGUUGCCCUUCAUUGAUACACGUUGGGAUUUUGGUGCACAAUUACCAACCAUUAAUCUACACCCGCAUCCCACACAGUUAGCGGCGAUCUUAAAAGAUUUAGUUACAACUUUAGGUUGGGAUGGUUGCUUCACAAUAAUUUAUGAAUCAGGCGAAUAUCUUUCCAUGGUUACUGAACUGUUGCAAAUGUAUGGCACUUCGGGUCCCACCAUUGUGGUGCGUCGCUAUGAGCUAGAUUUGAAUGGCAAUUACCGUAAUGUUUUGCGUCGUAUUAAAAAUUCUGGUGAUACAUCGUUUGUGGUUGUUGGCUCAUUGGCCACUUUGCCAGAACUUUUUAAGCAGGCCCAACAAGUUGGCCUAAUGACGGGCUCUUAUCGUUAUAUUAUUGGUAAUUUGGAUUUACAAACUAUGGACUUGGAGCCGUAUCAACAUGGUGAUACUAACAUUACGGGUAUACGUCUGGUUUCGCCAAAGGAAGAUAAUGUUAUAGAAGUUGCUAAAAUCUUAUACGAAUCGGAGGAACCAUUUCAAAACAUAUCAUGUCCUUUGACCGUCAACAUGGCUCUUGUUUACGAUGGCGUACAACUUUUGGCUGAGACAUUUAAACAUGUCAUGUUUCAGGCAGUUCCUUUAAAUUGUAACGAUGCCAGCUCUUGGGAUAAAGGAUACACUCUAGUCAAUUAUAUGAAGUCGUUAAAUAUGGCUGGUCUUACGGGUGAUAUAAAGUUUGAUUAUCAAGGUUUAAGAACAGAAUUUUCACUUGAAAUUGUUGAAUUGGCAGUAUCGGGUUUGCAAACAAUUGGCACUUGGAAAAGCGAUGAAGGUAUAACGAUUGAUCGUCCAGCUCCAGCAGUAUCUAUGGAACAGGAUCAUCGUUCAUUGGUCAAUAAAAGUUUUGUGGUGAUAACAGCUAUUAGUGAACCCUAUGGCAUGCUGAAAGAUGUACCCAAUAAAUUAGAAGGCAACGAUCAAUAUGAGGGAUUUGGCAUAGAACUUAUUGAAGAAUUGGGUAAAAAAUUGGGUUUUUCAUACACAUUUCGUUUACAAGAGGAUGGUAAAUAUGGCAAUUUAGAUUCGAAAACCAACUCCUGGAAUGGUAUGAUUUUGGAAAUCAUGGAAGGGCGUGCUGAUUUGGGUAUAACCGAUUUGACCAUGACAUCUGAUCGAGAAAGUGCGGUAGAUUUUACCAUUCCUUUCAUGAAUCUCGGUAUUGCCAUUUUAUUUCGCAAACCCAUGAAGGAACCACCCAAACUCUUCUCCUUUAUGUCACCAUUUUCCGGAGAAGUAUGGCUAUGGUUGGGUCUAGCAUAUGUUGCCGUCUCCUUGAGUAUGUUUAUAUUGGGCCGCAUAUCACCACCCGAAUGGGAUAAUCCGUAUCCUUGCAUAGAAGAGCCUACCGAACUUGAGAACCAAUUUACAUUUAUUAAUUGCUUUUGGUAUGCUGUUGGUACACUUUUGCAACAAGGUUCGGAAUUAGCACCAAAAGGAUUUUCAACACGUGCUGCUGCCUCAUUUUGGUCGUUCUUUACAUUGAUUCUGGUGUCUUCGUAUACAGCCAACUUGGCUGCAUUUUUAACGGUCGAAUCAUUAAGCACACCUAUUGAGAAUGUUGAGGAUUUGGCUGCUAACAAAGGUGGUGUUAACUAUGGUGCUAAAAUUGGUGGCAGUACAUUUACAUUUUUCAAGGAUGCAAAAUUUCCAACUUAUCAAAAAAUGUACGAGUUUAUGUCAAGUCAUCCGGAGUAUAUGACAUCUUCAAAUGCUGACGGUGUUACACGCGUCGAAGAGGAAAACUAUGCCUUUUUAAUGGAAUCCACAACUAUUGAAUAUAUCACAGAACGACGAUGCAGUCUAACACAAGUUGGUUCAUUAUUGGAUGAAAAAGGAUAUGGUAUUGCUAUGCGUAAAAAUUGGCCUUAUCGUGACAUACUCAGUCAAGCUGUAUUGGAAUUGCAGGAACAAGGUGUUUUAACAAAAAUGAAAACAAAAUGGUGGCAGGAAAAACGAGGUGGUGGCGCUUGUGCGAAAUUUGUUAAACGUGCUUUAUACUAUAAAUAAACAAUUUUAAUUUUAAUAUUUCUUCAAAAUCACACACAUUUCAACUCUACACAAGUUUUGAAGGUUGUUGUUUUAAAUAAAGGCGAGAAAUACAUUUUUGGAAUUUGAAAUUUUAUACCUUGAAUAAAAGGAGCCAAACAAAAUCCAGCACAAUAUUGGUGAAGAUGUUGAUGUUGUUGCUUGGUUACUUUGGUUGAUACUGUUGACACUUUACAACUUUUGUGGGUUCAUUGAUGGAACAAAUACACAGUUUUUAGUUAUUCGCCAGUCUCAACAGCUUUUAAAACGUGUUGUUGAAAAGUUUGUUACAAAAAAAAAAAAAAAAACAAAACUAACUAAA
Molecule: unclassified non-coding RNA, 2797 nt
Filed under: Lucilia cuprina (Australian sheep blowfly)
Lineage: Eukaryota; Metazoa; Arthropoda; Insecta; Diptera; Calliphoridae
Description: glutamate receptor ionotropic, kainate 2, transcript variant X1
Source: RNAcentral